This 533-nucleotide long non-coding RNA is filed under the name Rattus norvegicus (Norway rat). RNAcentral describes it as "long non-coding RNA NONRATT023564". Lineage: Eukaryota; Metazoa; Chordata; Mammalia; Rodentia; Muridae. The record is from RNAcentral.
GUAGGGGAGGUGCUUUUCUUGUUUUGGCCUGUGUUUAAAAGGCCUCUUUUUCAGGGUAGGCUUCUAGGAGAGUCUUGGAGAGCAUGUUCAGUCCCUAAGUCUGGUCCUGGGGAGUGUGUGUUUUGAGAUUGUGCUCAUCCCCUGUGCUCUUUCUCUACCCCAUCCUAGGUGCAGCUGAAUGCCGGCCAGUUGCAGUAUAUCCGCUUAGCCCAGCCUGUAUCAGGCACCCAAGUUGUGCAGGGACAGAUCCAGACCCUUGCUACCAAUGCCCAACAGAUCACACAGACAGAGGUCCAACAAGGACAGCAGCAGUUCAGCCAGUUCACAGACGGACAGCAGCUGUACCAGAUCCAGCAAGUCACCAUGCCUGCAGGCCAAGACCUUGCCCAGCCCAUGUUUAUUCAGUCAGCCAACCAGCCCUCUGAUGGGCAGACCCCCCAGGUGACUGGAGACUGAGGCCUGAGCUGCAAAGCCAAGGACCCCCAACACAAUAUUUGCCAUAGAGCCCCCAGGCGAUGGGGACACACCUUCCC